GGCGACAUAGCCAAGUGGUAAGGCGAAGGUCUGCAAAACCUUUACUCUCGGUUCGAAUCCGAGUGUCGCCU
RNAcentral lists this transfer RNA (71 nucleotides) under Bacillus bingmayongensis. RNAcentral's name for it is "tRNA-Cys". It matches the Rfam family "tRNA". Rfam says of the family: Transfer RNA (tRNA) molecules are approximately 80 nucleotides in length. The record is from RNAcentral. Lineage: Bacteria; Bacillati; Bacillota; Bacilli; Caryophanales; Bacillaceae. RNAcentral also lists the same sequence under 2 other names.